AUCAACCUGCCCGAUGCGAUAAACGCACGGUACAAUAUUAACCCAACACUUUUUUCUAGGGAGUCGGAAAUCCGAAGUGGUGUGCAGACCUCCCGCCUUUUCGGCGGACGUUGGGAGUACUAAAGCUAAGGAAAAGACACCCACCUGCUUAUGAGCAGGUUAUUAUUUGCCGUGUGCGGUCGGGUGGGGAUUUC
This 194-nucleotide non-coding RNA is filed under the name Candidatus Fimenecus excrementavium. RNAcentral's name for it is "6S RNA". It matches the Rfam family "6S / SsrS RNA". Rfam says of the family: E. coli 6S RNA was the first non coding RNA to be sequenced, but its function was unknown until recently. It consists of 184 nucleotides that fold into an extended hairpin structure with a large single-stranded internal bulge. The 6S RNA specifically associates with RNA polymerase holoenzyme containing the sigma70 specificity factor. The record is from RNAcentral. Lineage: Bacteria; Bacillati; Bacillota; Clostridia.